Nannospalax galili (Upper Galilee mountains blind mole rat) is the source of this 128-nucleotide small nucleolar RNA. Lineage: Eukaryota; Metazoa; Chordata; Mammalia; Rodentia; Spalacidae. The record is from Ensembl.
AGCACUUGUGCUUUUGUUGAACUGAUAGACAAAUAUCUAAAAGACAGGUAUAAGAACAAAUCUGCCUUUGCAACCCAGAGCUCAUUGUUCAGUAUGAAUUUAUGGAUCCACAUAAGGAAUAGGAUAUA